This 707-nucleotide long non-coding RNA is filed under the name Carica papaya (papaya). Its description in RNAcentral is "long non-coding RNA (CPAP_LNC007597)". The record is from RNAcentral. Lineage: Eukaryota; Viridiplantae; Streptophyta; Magnoliopsida; Brassicales; Caricaceae.
CCAAUAAUAUUAUAUUAAUCUCUCAAAUAAUUGUUGUUAUCAUCAUCGACACUAAUGGUAGGUAGUAAUUCAUAUUGAAAUAUGAUCACAUUAUCAUUAUGUACAGUAUAAGUACCGUACGUACAAGAAAUUUAUUGACCCUCGUGUAUAUAUGUAUGUAUGUAUGUAAUGUGUGUGUGUGUGUAUAUAUAUAUAUAUAAACAUAUAAGCUGGCCUAUGAUGACACCAAAAGUCGAGAUAAAAGUCGAAGCAUGUGUCCAGCCAGGAAUCUUCCAACUUGUUGCGUUACCAUCAACCAAUUACUAUUGCCGCACCAAAUCAUGCACGAUGACAUGGUGUUGCCACUGCCACAACUUGCCUACUUUCUCAAGCUGCUACAUAUAUAUAUAUAUAUAUAUACAAUAUAUAUAGUCCAUCAUAUAUAUAUAUAUAUAUACAUAUUAAUUAAGAUCUUUUUUUUUAAAAAAAAAAGGUUCUUUCCUUCAAAAAGAGAGAUUUUUUUUAUAUAUAAGAGUUUUGAAGUAUCAAAUCAAUGUCUGCAGCCGCAUCUUGGUUACUUCUGCUGCUGAAGUGUAGCUUGACUACAUCAUCCAUGUGUGUCGCACGCACUUGACUCAUCACUCCACACUCUCCUGCGGGGAUUGUCUUCUCCCUUCACUUCUCUCCCCCUCUAUAUAUAACACUCCCAAUCUCUUCCUUUCCAUUCA